GGGGAUAUAGCUCAGUGGUAGUGUGUGUGCUUCGCAUGCAUAGGUCCUCGGUUCAAUCCCCAGUACCUCCA
Molecule: transfer RNA, 71 nt
Filed under: Camelus bactrianus (Bactrian camel)
Lineage: Eukaryota; Metazoa; Chordata; Mammalia; Artiodactyla; Camelidae
Also listed under: 2 other names
Rfam family: tRNA
About the family: Transfer RNA (tRNA) molecules are approximately 80 nucleotides in length. Their secondary structure includes four short double-helical elements and three loops (D, anti-codon, and T loops). Further hydrogen bonds mediate the characteristic L-shaped molecular structure. tRNAs have two regions of fundamental functional importance: the anti-codon, which is responsible for specific mRNA codon recognition, and the 3' end, to which the tRNAs corresponding amino acid is attached (by aminoacyl-tRNA synthetases). tRNAs cope with the degeneracy of the genetic code in two manners: having more than one tRNA (with a specific anti-codon) for a particular amino acid; and 'wobble' base-pairing, i.e. permitting non-standard base-pairing at the 3rd anti-codon position.
Source: Rfam by way of RNAcentral